Molecule: transfer RNA, 94 nt
Filed under: Sphaerobolus stellatus SS14
Lineage: Eukaryota; Fungi; Basidiomycota; Agaricomycetes; Geastrales; Sphaerobolaceae
Rfam family: tRNA
About the family: Transfer RNA (tRNA) molecules are approximately 80 nucleotides in length. Their secondary structure includes four short double-helical elements and three loops (D, anti-codon, and T loops).
Source: Rfam by way of RNAcentral
GGCGAGAUGGCCGAGUCGGUCUAAGGCGUGAGACUAAGGUGAUCCUCGUAAUCUCAUCUCUUCGGGGGCGUGGGUUCAAAUCCCACUCUCGUCA